RNAcentral lists this ribosomal RNA (939 nucleotides) under Pseudarthrobacter siccitolerans. RNAcentral describes it as "bacterial SSU rRNA". It matches the Rfam family "Bacterial small subunit ribosomal RNA", at positions 415 to 1364 of the family's 1533-position model. The record is from RNAcentral. Lineage: Bacteria; Bacillati; Actinomycetota; Actinomycetes; Micrococcales; Micrococcaceae.
CCUUCGGGUUGUAAACCUCUUUCAGUAGGGAAGAAGCGAAAGUGACGGUACCUGCAGAAGAAGCGCCGGCUAACUACGUGCCAGCAGCCGCGGUAAUACGUAGGGCGCAAGCGUUAUCCGGAAUUAUUGGGCGUAAAGAGCUCGUAGGCGGUUUGUCGCGUCUGCCGUGAAAGUCCGGGGCUCAACUCCGGAUCUGCGGUGGGUACGGGCAGACUAGAGUGAUGUAGGGGAGACUGGAAUUCCUGGUGUAGCGGUGAAAUGCGCAGAUAUCAGGAGGAACACCGAUGGCGAAGGCAGGUCUCUGGGCAUUAACUGACGCUGAGGAGCGAAAGCAUGGGGAGCGAACAGGAUUAGAUACCCUGGUAGUCCAUGCCGUAAACGUUGGGCACUAGGUGUGGGGGACAUUCCACGUUUUCCGCGCCGUAGCUAACGCAUUAAGUGCCCCGCCUGGGGAGUACGGCCGCAAGGCUAAAACUCAAAGGAAUUGACGGGGGCCCGCACAAGCGGCGGAGCAUGCGGAUUAAUUCGAUGCAACGCGAAGAACCUUACCAAGGCUUGACAUGAACCGGAAAGACCUGGAAACAGGUGCCCCGCUUGCGGUCGGUUUACAGGUGGUGCAUGGUUGUCGUCAGCUCGUGUCGUGAGAUGUUGGGUUAAGUCCCGCAACGAGCGCAACCCUCGUUCUAUGUUGCCAGCACGUGAUGGUGGGGACUCAUAGGAGACUGCCGGGGUCAACUCGGAGGAAGGUGGGGACGACGUCAAAUCAUCAUGCCCCUUAUGUCUUGGGCUUCACGCAUGCUACAAUGGCCGGUACAAAGGGUUGCGAUACUGUGAGGUGGAGCUAAUCCCAAAAAGCCGGUCUCAGUUCGGAUUGGGGUCUGCAACUCGACCCCAUGAAGUCGGAGUCGCUAGUAAUCGCAGAUCAGCAAUGCUGCGGUG